RNAcentral lists this ribosomal RNA (403 nucleotides) under uncultured bacterium. Its description in RNAcentral is "bacterial SSU rRNA". It matches the Rfam family "Bacterial small subunit ribosomal RNA", at positions 355 to 776 of the family's 1533-position model. The record is from RNAcentral.
UUAGGAAUCUUCCACAAUGGGGGCAACCCUGAUGGAGCGACACUGCGUGAAGGAUGAAGGCUUUCGGGUCGUAAACUUCUGAUAGAGGGACGAAUGUUGACGGUACCUCUUGAUUAGCACCGGCUAACUCCGUGCCAGCAGCCGCGGUAAUACGGAGGGUGCGAGCGUUAUCCGGAAUCACUGGGCGUAAAGGGCGUGUAGGUGGUUUGUUAAGUCCGUUGUUAAAGGUUGGGGCUCAACCCCGGCAUGGCAGUGGGUACUGGCAGGCUUGACGGCUGGAGAGGCGAGUGGAAUUACCAGUGUAGCGGUGGAAUGCGUAGAUACUGGUAGGAACACCUAUGGCGAAGGCAGCUCGCUGGACAGCUCGUGACGCUGAGGCGCGAAAGUGUGGGGAGCGAACCGG